CGCGCCCUCCCCGCGGCAGGUGGGCCGGAGCUGCGCGGUUGCGUAUGCACUUGUAGGCUUUUUUAACCCACCUCCUCCCCCCUUUUUUUUUUGGUUUCGAUAACUUUAUUGCGAUAGCUGCAGCGUGUUCACGUUCCUAAAACCUGCGGGAUUCCCAGUAGCCCCCGGUCCUUUUCCGAGUUCCUGCGACCUUAAAGUCAGUGUGUUAAAUAAAUACUCCAUGCAUGCAGGUGUGAAAUACGACCAGCGAGGGACUGGAAAUCCAUGAAGACUGUGUGCCAAAGAAGACUUACUCAGAUGACAUCACCUUUGGACUACUAAUGCUACCCACCCACUCUACAAGGCACAAUGUAUUUCUAGGUAAUUUAACAAAUUUAGGGAGAAGCCCAUUCUUUCAUUUGCAAACUCUUCUGGAAAUCUGUUUGGAUCUUGUAUACUGAACAUCAGUGAAACUAGGUAAGUCUGAAUUUGAGUUUGGUUAUUCUAAGCAACUAAUGAACUAAUUGCAUGUGAAAAAAAGGUAAAUUAAUCCUGUUUGUAAUUUACAGUUCUUGGAGAAAUUUUGGCGUGUAACCUCAAAUCUAGAGGAUUAAAUUAUAAUGUAAAUUACAUAGCCCAGAAAAUGAAGGGCAGAGAUUAAGCAAUAUAUCCCUGGCUUUACAUCUUAGGUAAAAGCGUGUAUAUACCAAAUAUAUUUUAUCUACUGUUUCUUUAGUGAAGUUAUUGCAUUCCACAGAUCCCUUGAUGAGCUUUCCUUAGUAUUUCUUUGUUCCUGUGGCUGUUCCCUGAGACGAUGUUUAGAACCAGGCUAAUUUCAGUCUUACAGUAGACUAAUAUUCCUGUGUCAUUAAUCUCAUUUUUCUCAAUUUCCAUAGUUGGUUAGCACAGGGUUUAGAGAUCAAUUUGAGUCAUUGCAGUAAGCCCAUGAUCGCCUUUACCCCUUUUAAAUUUUGAGUUAGGGGAAGUUAAAUCACAGUAGUAGUGCUUACAAACCAUUCUCAGACUAUACUAUCUGACUUUCCAGGGGAAAAACAAUACUGACACCUCUGUCUAAAAGUUCAGAGAUGCAAGAAUAUUUACAUUUCCCUUACUGUAUUUAAUAGCACAGGUAAUAGGAGGAAAUGAAUAAGUAAACGAGAGAAAGGCUGAAAGAAAUAAGGUAGAAAGAAGAGAAGUAAAAUAUUUGAAGUGAGAAAAUAGGACAUAAAAGAUGAAGUAAAUAAGUGAAGAGAAAUAAAGCCUAAGAAAUAGGUAUAUCUAGAUUUAUA
Molecule: long non-coding RNA, 1268 nt
Filed under: Zonotrichia albicollis (white-throated sparrow)
Lineage: Eukaryota; Metazoa; Chordata; Aves; Passeriformes; Passerellidae
Description: lncRNA (ENSZALG00000014564.1)
Source: RNAcentral